RNAcentral lists this non-coding RNA (158 nucleotides) under Candidatus Ghiorseimicrobium undicola. RNAcentral describes it as "Candidatus Omnitrophica bacterium CG11_big_fil_rev_8_21_14_0_20_42_13 6S RNA". It matches the Rfam family "6S / SsrS RNA". Rfam says of the family: E. coli 6S RNA was the first non coding RNA to be sequenced, but its function was unknown until recently. It consists of 184 nucleotides that fold into an extended hairpin structure with a large single-stranded internal bulge. The 6S RNA specifically associates with RNA polymerase holoenzyme containing the sigma70 specificity factor. The record is from RNAcentral. Lineage: Bacteria; Pseudomonadati; Candidatus Omnitrophota.
AAAUCCCUGCAGUGUUCGUUUGUGCGGCAGUAAAAUUGAACCAACACAAUUUAUAAGGGUGCUGGUAUAGGCAUGCCCGAGGGUGUGCCAAACAAGGCGCCCACCUGUGAGAACGGGUUCAAACUCACGCGCUGCGCGACGACAUGAGCGGGGAUUUU